GUAGUUGUUAACAGCUACUGCCCACAUGAGGGGGGAAGCCAGGGCUAUACUGGAGGCAAAGUUGCCAUAUGUAAGAAGGUGGCAAGAAAAGGUAACAUAUAAUCUACAUUCUAGUUCUGAAAUAUAGAUUCUUUCUUACAGCAGAUCUGCUGGCAAAGUAAUUCUGAUGAGCAUGUUUCUGAAAUUUUCUUGAGUCUCUUGACUAAGCCCUCUACUGACCUUUCUUUGGAGCAAGUAUUUAUUGGGAAAUCAAUGCAUAUUAAAAAUUUCAUGACCUGUC
This 280-nucleotide long non-coding RNA is filed under the name Bos taurus (domestic cattle). RNAcentral describes it as "long non-coding RNA NONBTAT017864". Lineage: Eukaryota; Metazoa; Chordata; Mammalia; Artiodactyla; Bovidae. The record is from RNAcentral.